AACAUAUAAUUCAAUUUGGAAUGUAAAUCUAAAUCUAAAUAUAAUAUUUAAUCAAAUGAAAUCUAAUCUAAAUAAUUUAUAGAACACUUAUAUUUUUAUUACAAAAAAAACUGAAUAUAUGUUUACACUUACAAUAUUGAGAAAAAUGUAUGAACAAAGUCUUCUGAACAUAAAUCUUGAAGAAAUCUAUUUAUGAAUUUUAUCUUAUAAUUAAUUUAUAAAAUUGUGAAAAUUAUUUUAAUGGAAAAUCAAUUAAUCAUAUAAAUAUAAAAAAUUAAGAAUCAUGUAAAUUGAAAUUUAAUAAAGCUGAAUAGUCAUAGAAUUGAUGAAAAAUAUAAAUGGAAAUCAUGUUUUUUAUUGGUUAGGAUUUGUUAACAUAUUUUCAGAUAAUAUGUUUGUAUUUUAAAAUUAGUUUUGGAUCAAAUAUGGUUUUAGGCUUAUGCGUAUUUGUUGCUUUUGUUUUUCUUAAACUGUCGAUUUUAUCUAAGGGUUUAUCAAAACAAAAUCGUAUUUUCCAGAAAUUGAAACUAUAAUUGUUAAAAACAAUUUAGAGCAUUCAUUAGGUGGAGGUGUUCAACAUGGGAGAUCAAAAUGUGAAUAAUCUUGUUUUCUUGGAAAAAUAUUGGUUGCAAAAAGAAAGAAAAAACUCAAUCUAUGAUAACUAACUUUUCAUUCCAUAAGUUAUAUCACAUUUUCCCUUUGUCUGCGUGAGAAAAUAGUAAUAUGUAAUCAUUUUAAAUAUUUACAGUAUAUCGAAGUUGUUUGAAAUUAGAGUGAACUCAUGCUUAAUUAUAUGGUUCAAAUAUGCAAAUGUUAUUUUAAGUUUGUUAGCAGUAUUCAUGUAUAUUUAUGUUCAUGUUUCUGAAUUUGAUAUGUUCAAGUAAUCCCUAGAACUUAGGGUUGAGCAUUUUAUCCGUUAAAUUUGAUUCGGUCCAUUAUUUGCUCCGAAUCGAUGUAAAAAAUCUGGAUAUGCGUAAAGUUUCGGAGCAAAGUAAAUAUUAAAAAUCAAUAUCCGUUAAAAACGAAACAAACCACAAAUACAAAAAUUUAAAAAACCGGAUAUCCGCUCCGCUUUGACAACUAUAUACAUAUAUAUAUUAAUUAAAUGUAGAGUUAAAUGUAUGCGUUUAUAUAAUUUUUUAUUUUCACAUUUGAUUUAAUAAAUUAUGUUCACGUGAUUAUACAAGUAUUAAAUUCAAAAAAGAAAAGAAAAAUUUAUAAUAUCUGUUUUCUUACGUUUGUCUUUCUUAUAACUAGUUUUAAAAUUUACAAACAUAUAGUUUUGUUGCUUCUUUUAUCUUUUAUUUUAUUUAUCAUGUAAAAGUAUUUUAAAGAACAAAUUUAUCUUGUUUUUUUCUAGAUUAUUUGAAUUAACUAAAACGUAAGUAUUCGUAAAUAUCCGCAAAUAUCUAUAUAUUUUUCGGAUAUUCGUAUUUUUCGGAACAAACCAAAUAAAAUAAUGAUAUCCGUAACAUAUAAAACAAAAAGCAAUUGUACUCCAUACACCCCAAAAGAUACCCUAUUUGCAAUCUAUACCCUAAAUCCCUCUAUUUUUCUUUCCUCCAUCACUACCAUUUUCCUCCAUUUGUAUGGUAUCCUACUCUUAUAAGUAUAUUGAGUUAAUUAGCUCUAAAACAAAUCAUGAUACCUAUAAAAUUCCAGAUAUCCAGAUCUGUGCCUACUGGAACCAUGUGAGAAGAUGAUGUGGUGAUGAGCUGACAACGACUUUUCAACUUUUUUAAAUAAAUAAAAAAAGAAGAUACAUAACUUUGAGUGAUCUUUUUAUUAUUUUUUAAAGCAAGCUGUCGCAAUUUUAUAAUGUAAGCAUGUAUUUGGUCUCAGGCUCUAUUUUGAAAAUUGAGUAAUUUUUUUUUUUUGUUUUUGUAGUUUUCCACAGGAAAGCAACGUCCGACACACAAUUCAUAAGAUAAAUUAAUUAAAUAUAUAAAACGACCAAAUAUAAAUAAUUACAAAACUAACAAUAUAGUUAAUGUUUUACUUUUUUUAUUUAUAAAAUUUUAUAACUGACUAAACUAAAUAGGAUAAUACUAUAUUUAAAAAUUGUUUUAUAUAAUAUCUAUUAAUAUAAAGAAGAAAUUUAUUCUCUUCUCCUCUUGCCCCCUAAAAAAAUAGGUCAAGGAGAAGCUGACACAUGUUCUCAUCAAAACUCCCAGUAUGGCUUAAUCGUUUCGUAAAAAAAAAGUGGACUUUGUGUUUCUCAUCUCUUUGUUGUUGGUUUCUGUGAUUCACUUCAUCUUUCCUCAGUAAAUAGAUUAAGAUGGCAAGCUCAUCUGUCUUCCUCAUAUUUUGGUGAAGAUUGAUUCUGGUUCGAUGUUGUAAAGAACAUCUAGAUCCAACAAACUUCGAUCUACACCAGCCAUAGUUGUGAUUCUUCCUAUAAAUAUCGACCCGGUUAAAAGAGAUCAACAAACAGUGAACCGAAGUUCUGGUUGGCGGAAAUAAGUUGUGUUGUCCGGAUUCAGGUCCAGAAAGAUGGAUUUAUUGUUGAUUGAUUAAUAUAUUGCAUGUUUUUUUUGUUCUUUCAAGCUAAGACUUCAACGAAAAAGAAGAAGAAAAAUAAGAAUAAAAUCAAGUAAGAAGUGUUUUCGGUCUGUCACUUUUGUUGUUUGCUUUAGUGAUGGUUUCACUUAUGUUUGCUGGAAGAAGACCCAACAGACUGAUCCACCUACAAUCCCUGUCGGUAAGCUUUUUCCAUCUAGAGAGAUUUUGAAGGUGAAAUCCAACAGUAUAAGGACGAUUAACUUUAUCUAAUCAAAUAAAGUACAAUUUAUAAAAUAACAAAAUAUAAGUUCGUUCUCACGGGUUUUGUUUGAUGUUUUAAUUUAAUAAAAACUAUAAGAUAAUAAAUCAAUUUAUUAUAGUAUUAUGAUUGUUUUUUUGCAUAUGUUGUUUGAGAUUUAUUUUAUAACUAAAACUUGUUUUCACACAUAAGUUUAAGUUAAUAUUUGUAUUUUAUAACCAAGGUGCAUAGAAGGGUUGUUAUAAACUUUAUACUACGGAUUAGAGAAAAUACUAUAAAUAAACAUUUAAACGGAACACAAUCCGAAAUAAGAAAUGAAAGUUAAAUACACCAAUAGAAUCAAUAAAAGUUAAAUACAUAUUCUUAUGUACUAAUUUAACGUUUAAUUAAACAAGGCUUUAAAAUUUUAUUUUGCUAUGAUUUUUUAAAAA
Molecule: long non-coding RNA, 3192 nt
Organism: Brassica napus (rape)
Lineage: Eukaryota; Viridiplantae; Streptophyta; Magnoliopsida; Brassicales; Brassicaceae
Exons: 2
Source: RefSeq, a predicted model, not a curated record